This 339-nucleotide ribosomal RNA is filed under the name uncultured Pseudomonadota bacterium. Its description in RNAcentral is "bacterial SSU rRNA". It matches the Rfam family "Bacterial small subunit ribosomal RNA", at positions 29 to 351 of the family's 1533-position model. The record is from RNAcentral. Lineage: Bacteria; Pseudomonadati; Pseudomonadota.
AACAAACGCUGGCGGCGUGCCUAACACAUGCAAGUCGUACGAGAAAAUUGGCUUCGGCCGAUGAGUAAAGUGGCGCACGGGUGAGUAACGCGUGGAUAAUCUGCCCUUCAGUUGGGAAUAACUCAUCGAAAGGUGGGCUAAUACCGAAUGAUACUGCGAGACUUUGGUCGAGCAGUCAAAGAGAGCCUCUGCUUGCACGCCCUCGCUGAAGGAUGAGUCCGCGUACCAUUAGCUAGUUGGUAGGGUAACGGCCUACCAAGGCGACGAUGGUUAGCUGGUCUGAGAGGAUGAUCAGCCACACUGGAACUGAGACACGGUCCAGACUCCUACGGGAGGCAG